Molecule: long non-coding RNA, 944 nt
Filed under: Fukomys damarensis (Damara mole-rat)
Lineage: Eukaryota; Metazoa; Chordata; Mammalia; Rodentia; Bathyergidae
Description: lncRNA (ENSFDAG00000029310.1)
Source: RNAcentral
CGGGAUUGAAGCUGUGUCCCGUUCCUGAAAGAAAGAGUUCUGCGGUGGAUUAGCAAUGUCUGCUGUGAAUGAGGCCUGGGAGCGGGGCCUCCAGGGUGGUCUCAGUUCUUCACAACGGGGCUCCUUUCGAAACUUGUGGAAACGCUUUUGGCUGUUGCUAGGGAAAACAAUAGAAACAACUAUGGGAACACAGGAAGGGUGUCUCGAUAUGACUGGCAGAGUCAAGGAAGACUUUAUGGGUGAGAGUUUUCGAGCUGGGAACUGAAAGGUAAGUAGGAGUUUGCCUAGUAGGCAGACUGGGAGAGGGCAUCCUAACCAGCAGGAAUGGCACAUGCAAAGAUGUGGCAGGAGGGGUGAGUGGCUCUUGGAAGUGUACCUGGAAUACCAGGACACUGAUUGCGAAGGGCACCGUGAUGGCAGGGAAUAAAGUCGCACUUUUGAAAGCUGCCUUUAACCUGGCUGUCAGAACCCUUGAAAUUUGGCAAAGCAGCUACAGUACCGUGCAGCUGGCAGUGCAGUAACAGAAAUGCCCUCGAGGUGGCGCACAGGGGCAGGAUUUUCUUUUUCUUUUUUUUUUUUCUUUUUGAGAGCCGAUCUGAAUCUGUCAUUCAGGCUGACCUAGAACUCACUUUGCAGCCCACACUGGCCUUGAACUCGAAGCAAUUCUCCUGCCUCAGCCUCCCAAGUACUGGGAUUACAGGCAUGAGCCACCAUGCACACGGGGGCAGGAUUUUUUUAAGGACUGGUGCUGGUGCUGGUGCUGCUGUUGACCCACCAGGGAGCAGGAGGAAGCUGCCGAUAAGUCCAGCUCUCCACCCCUACUCCUACCAAUGAUGAUUUCUUUGAAGGUUGACAUGGUUUCCAAUUCUGUGCAUUGAAACAAAAUGAAUGUGGCUUCUGAAACGCCACCCAGACCCAAAUUCCAGCCACUCAGCCAAGCCACA